RNAcentral lists this ribosomal RNA (497 nucleotides) under uncultured bacterium. Its description in RNAcentral is "partial 16S ribosomal RNA". It matches the Rfam family "Bacterial small subunit ribosomal RNA", at positions 28 to 507 of the family's 1533-position model. The record is from RNAcentral.
GAUGAACGCUGGCGGCGUGCCUAAUACAUGCAAGUCGAGCGAACAGACGAGGAGCUUGCUCCUCUUACGUUAGCGGCGGACGGGUGAGUAACACGUGGAUAACCUACCUAUAAGACUGGGAUAACUUCGGGAAACCGGAGCUAAUACCGGAUAAUAUAUUGAACCGCAUGGUUCAAUAGUGAAAGACGGUUUUGCUGUCACUUAUAGAUGGAUCCGCGCCGCAUUAGCUAGUUGGUAAGGUAACGGCUUACCAAGGCAACGAUGCGUAGCCGACCUGAGAGGGUGAUCGGCCACGCUGGAACUGAGACACGGUCCAGACUCCUACGGGAGGCAGCAGUAGGGAAUCUUCCGCAAUGGGCGAAAGCCUGACGGAGCAAAGCCGCGUGAGUGAUGAAGGGCUUCGGAUCGUAAAACUCUGUUAUUAGGGAAGAACAAAUGUGUAAGUAACUAUGCACGUCUUGACGGUACCUAAUCAGAAAGCCACGGCUAACUACGUG